AAUCAACGCUGGCGGCGUGCCUCAGACAUGCAAGUCGAACGAUUAAGACUCUCUUCGGAGAGUGUAUAAAGUGGCGCACGGGUGAGUAACACGUAGGUAAUGUACCGAAGGGUGGGGAAUAACUUAGGGAAACUUAAGCUAAUACCGCAUAAUGCAGCGGCUCGACAUCGAGACAGUUGUUAAAGGAGACAAUCCGCCUUUUAGAGCAGCCUGCGGCAGAUUAGCUAGUUGGUAAGGUAAUGGCUUACCAAGGCUACGAUCUGUAACCGACCUGAGAGGGUGGUCGGUCACACUGACACUGAAUAACGGGUCAGACUCCUACGGAGGCAGCAGUCGGGAAUUUUGGGGCAAUGGGCGAAAGCCUGACCCAGCAACGCCGCGUGAAGGAUGAAGUAUUUCGGUAUGUAAACUUCGUAAGAAUAGGAAGAAUAAAUGACGGUACUAUUUGUAAGGUCCGGACUAACUACGUG
This 470-nucleotide ribosomal RNA is filed under the name uncultured bacterium. RNAcentral's name for it is "bacterial SSU rRNA". It matches the Rfam family "Bacterial small subunit ribosomal RNA", at positions 32 to 507 of the family's 1533-position model. The record is from RNAcentral.